GGACCCCGGUUGCAUACAGCGUCUUGCUGGAAUGGAAGUAUACUCGAUCAAAGUAUGUGCGCUAGCUUGCAGCCCACUGCUCUACCAUAAGAACUCCUUCCAACGGUCGAAGGUUGCAGCAUUGGACCAUGAUAUACAAACGCCAAUCUGAACGGCGACUUAUAGAAUAUGCCGGCAUACGUGUAGGGUGGCACCUGCUCAGCUCCUCGAAGAGCAACUUCCCAAUGUGGCCUGCCCAACCGCCCAAGGUUGGUCGUGUUUCCAAGGAAACAUGGAAAGGUGCAUACUUAGUUCACUACGCUAUCAUCAAGCAGGGAUUCCGCGACGGGUCUAACUUGACGGCAUGCGCAACACACGCAGGGAAAUGAUAAUCACUGUGGCCUUGGCCUGCGAAUUUAUGUGUCGGGACUGCUGCUCCUUGUCCUAAGCUCCAUAGGAACAAAUGAUCUGCAAUUGAUAGGUUCGGAUGUCACUUGUGGUGCAUGUGCAAUAUUUCAUACGCAGAUCACGCAUAUAUACAGCAUAACAUCUACUUCACGUUAAGUGGCGCCAACCCGGCCCCUCUCGUUACCAGCUCGCGCCCGAACUGUCAUUUCAAACUAUGAAUUCCCAUCCUGCACCGGGUUUGAACUCCGAAAUUCUCAUUGCGGCUAGAUGAAGAGGCAGGCCACCUCAAAGCCAGCUCGGCCCUCUUCUCCCGCUCCCCCACUGCACCAGCUUCACUACUCCACCCAAACUGCACCAGCUUCACUACUCCACCCAAACGAGGGAUAAUCCAAUGGGAGUUUCUCUCACAUCACCUAACCAUCACCUUAAUGCUAUCAUGCACCAGGGAACCGUCCGGAUAAACAGCAACAAAUUCCAUGUAUUGUCACAAGGGCAAAGAAGUCACCGACUGAGGCUAGCUAAAAAAAGGCCGUGCUGGGUCUACAGCAUUCCACAUCGUGUAUUUAAACAGUUCCGUCGUAUACAGCAUCCUUCAAGGAUUGUUGAAGAAACCCGUCGUUAACAGCAGCUGCUCUACCUCAGCAGCCGAACUACAUGCUUCCAGUUCCGGCCCCAAUCGCCGUGUGGCACCAGAGUGACUCCAAGCCAGUAACGUAGGGACCCCAGUCAGACGGAGCUUUGGAUCCACCCUGUGUACGGCAGCGGCACAAGAAGCGCCCCGCGAGGAUGCGAGGGACCCGG
RNAcentral lists this long non-coding RNA (1188 nucleotides) under Volvox carteri. RNAcentral describes it as "long non-coding RNA (VCAR_LNC002228)". The record is from RNAcentral. Lineage: Eukaryota; Viridiplantae; Chlorophyta; Chlorophyceae; Chlamydomonadales; Volvocaceae.